ACGACCUUACUUGAACAGGAUCUGUUCUAUAGGCUCGUACCGUUGCAUCCUUGACUAAUAAGGAGGCAAGCACUAAAGCUUGGUUGAUGAAGCAUGACCUGUGGGCCAGAGCGUGAUUAACGGCUCGGAUCUCAACGUUGUUGACUCGAUCCCACGGCUGUAGAGGAUCGUUCCUUGCCAAGCUCCGCCAGGCCAGGGUGGCCCAUAGGUUGUCUGACAGGCU
Molecule: small nucleolar RNA, 223 nt
Filed under: Oryza punctata
Lineage: Eukaryota; Viridiplantae; Streptophyta; Magnoliopsida; Poales; Poaceae
Description: snoRNA Plant_U3
Rfam family: Plant small nucleolar RNA U3
About the family: Small nucleolar RNAs (snoRNAs) are involved in the processing and modification of rRNA in the nucleolus. There are two main classes of snoRNAs: the box C/D class, and the box H/ACA class.
Source: Rfam by way of RNAcentral